This is a non-coding RNA of Myodes glareolus (Bank vole), 390 nucleotides long. Lineage: Eukaryota; Metazoa; Chordata; Mammalia; Rodentia; Cricetidae. The record is from RefSeq and is a predicted model, not a curated record.
GUGACCAAGGUCCAUCUGUGGUCUCCCCACUCCCUGUUGGGGAGAAGCAGCAUCAAGUACCAGGGACACUGGGGUGUCAGCAGUGUCCUUUGCUAGAGAAAGAAGCAUACAAGCUGAGAAAACAGCUAGCCGUCAUGCGGGCCCUCAACAAAAGGUUCCAGGCCCUUUGAAGUGAACGUUCUGCUCUCCACAGCCCUUCCCCCACUCCUUACUGUUAAGGCAGCCAGAGUGGGCCUGACUCUGCUCUGCCUGACAGGCUGAGCCCAGCUUCCCUGUAGGAGAGAUCAGACUACAACUCAUGGAUCCCCGGGGCUGUGAUGUGGCCCUGCUUCUUCCUUCUACCUGUUCUACAGCCAGAGCCACCUUUUAUGCCCCUCCUUUUGUCCCCUG